This 1531-nucleotide ribosomal RNA is filed under the name Salmonella enterica subsp. enterica. Its description in RNAcentral is "bacterial SSU rRNA". It matches the Rfam family "Bacterial small subunit ribosomal RNA". Lineage: Bacteria; Pseudomonadati; Pseudomonadota; Gammaproteobacteria; Enterobacterales; Enterobacteriaceae. The record is from RNAcentral.
AGAGUUUGAUCAUGGCUCAGAUUGAACGCUGGCGGCAGGCCUAACACAUGCAAGUCGAACGGUAACAGGAAGCAGCUUGCUGCUUUGCUGACGAGUGGCGGACGGGUGAGUAAUGUCUGGGAAACUGCCUGAUGGAGGGGGAUAACUACUGGAAACGGUGGCUAAUACCGCAUAACGUCGCAAGACCAAAGAGGGGGACCUUCGGGCCUCUUGCCAUCAGAUGUGCCCAGAUGGGAUUAGCUUGUUGGUGAGGUAACGGCUCACCAAGGCGACGAUCCCUAGCUGGUCUGAGAGGAUGACCAGCCACACUGGAACUGAGACACGGUCCAGACUCCUACGGGAGGCAGCAGUGGGGAAUAUUGCACAAUGGGCGCAAGCCUGAUGCAGCCAUGCCGCGUGUAUGAAGAAGGCCUUCGGGUUGUAAAGUACUUUCAGCGGGGAGGAAGGUGUUGUGGUUAAUAACCACAGCAAUUGACGUUACCCGCAGAAGAAGCACCGGCUAACUCCGUGCCAGCAGCCGCGGUAAUACGGAGGGUGCAAGCGUUAAUCGGAAUUACUGGGCGUAAAGCGCACGCAGGCGGUCUGUCAAGUCGGAUGUGAAAUCCCCGGGCUCAACCUGGGAACUGCAUUCGAAACUGGCAGGCUUGAGUCUUGUAGAGGGGGGUAGAAUUCCAGGUGUAGCGGUGAAAUGCGUAGAGAUCUGGAGGAAUACCGGUGGCGAAGGCGGCCCCCUGGACAAAGACUGACGCUCAGGUGCGAAAGCGUGGGGAGCAAACAGGAUUAGAUACCCUGGUAGUCCACGCCGUAAACGAUGUCUACUUGGAGGUUGUGCCCUUGAGGCGUGGCUUCCGGAGCUAACGCGUUAAGUAGACCGCCUGGGGAGUACGGCCGCAAGGUUAAAACUCAAAUGAAUUGACGGGGGCCCGCACAAGCGGUGGAGCAUGUGGUUUAAUUCGAUGCAACGCGAAGAACCUUACCUGGUCUUGACAUCCACAGAACUUUCCAGAGAUGGAUUGGUGCCUUCGGGAACUGUGAGACAGGUGCUGCAUGGCUGUCGUCAGCUCGUGUUGUGAAAUGUUGGGUUAAGUCCCGCAACGAGCGCAACCCUUAUCCUUUGUUGCCAGCGAUUAGGUCGGGAACUCAAAGGAGACUGCCAGUGAUAAACUGGAGGAAGGUGGGGAUGACGUCAAGUCAUCAUGGCCCUUACGACCAGGGCUACACACGUGCUACAAUGGCGCAUACAAAGAGAAGCGACCUCGCGAGAGCAAGCGGACCUCAUAAAGUGCGUCGUAGUCCGGAUUGGAGUCUGCAACUCGACUCCAUGAAGUCGGAAUCGCUAGUAAUCGUGGAUCAGAAUGCCACGGUGAAUACGUUCCCGGGCCUUGUACACACCGCCCGUCACACCAUGGGAGUGGGUUGCAAAAGAAGUAGGUAGCUUAACCUUCGGGAGGGCGCUUACCACUUUGUGAUUCAUGACUGGGGGUGAAGUCGUAACAAGGUAACCGUAGGGGAACCUGCGGUUGGAUCACCU